Molecule: transfer RNA, 74 nt
Filed under: Podarcis lilfordi (Lilford's wall lizard)
Lineage: Eukaryota; Metazoa; Chordata; Lepidosauria; Squamata; Lacertidae
Description: tRNA.Phe
Rfam family: tRNA (bases 6-68)
About the family: Transfer RNA (tRNA) molecules are approximately 80 nucleotides in length. Their secondary structure includes four short double-helical elements and three loops (D, anti-codon, and T loops).
Source: RNAcentral
UGCUGGUUAGCUCAGUUGGUUAGAGCGUGGUGCUGAAAAUGCCGAGGUCACGGGUUUUAUCCCCGUACGGUUAC